ACCAAUUCAAAAGCUGAAAUUAUAAUUUAAGCUUGGAAAAUAUAAUAGACAACUUAUAAAAUCAUGCAUGCAUAUUAAUUAAAAUCUAAAAUGUCCACUCACUGAUUUAGGCCUAAGCCUGACGAAUUCCGAAUCACUACUCAAGCGCGGUUCCCUUCGUAUCCUGGCACAAUAAAUAUGCUUAGGACCAAACUUAAAUUCUGGAAAAUUAAACAUUUGAAAAUAAACACCCAAAUCUCUUCCGCUUAACCCACUACUCUAACUAGGGUUAAGCUCACCGGAUUUCCACCAAACUCCACCAUAACCUGAAUUCCUCAAUUCUAACAUUUUAGAAUAAAUAUCAAGGAAAUCCAACGGCAGGAUUUAUCCUAACAACCGCCAUUCUCUCCAAUCUCCGAAAAGUUCCAAACCUAACCAAAACUCAUCAAAAAAUUCCAAACUAUUCUUCAAUAAACUCCUCUUAUUAAAACCAUCUAAAAAACAGGAAAAACAACCCUUAAGGGGCGGCGGCGGCGGCCGGCAGCCGUAUUCCGGCAAGGACCAAAGCUUCUCAAAUUUUAGCAGAAUAAUCCUCUCAUCAUGCACAACAACUUUAAUAACUAGCACUUAAUCCAAAUCUAAGGCUAACUAGGGUAAUCGAACUAAAACAUCUAAAAAAUCCCUAAAUUCAAACCCUAGACCGAAAAUCCUCCUACACUUCGAAUUUGAUAGUUACCUUCUAGGGGAUUGAUGCACCAAGAAAGGCCGUCAAGCUGAGCCAAACGUCUCCAGCUAUAGUGGCCGGAGGAGGGAGAUUCUAGCAGAAACUCCCCCCGCUGCCCAGUCGGCUUCUAGUCGGGUUUUCUCCUUCACGGCGGCAAGGCACGACCAUCCACCUGCCCAGAAUUACAGUAGAGCUAACGCUGAGUUGAACGUGACAGAACCCACCCCGAAUUUCACCCUGAAACCCGAGGUAAAUCCUGUGGGGUCCACCUUGAAGGAAAAUUUACCAAAAAUUCGGCAUAACCUCUUUAAAAAUGGACGACCCUUACCUGAAAAAUCCAAUUUAACACUUCUAUAACCAAACAUCCAUCCUCAACACCUGGAGCCUUUCUGCUCCCCGAGUUCAACACAUCUCUCAAUAUAACAAUUACUCAACUAAACUAAUCCCACAACCAACAAUAACCAACAUUAAUUCACUAACUGAUUAUCAGAGCGUAUCUAGAGUUAAAUGAAAAACAAUGAAUAAAGAAUAAGCAGAAGCAGCCUCUGACUAUGCCUCGACUCCAUGUACGCCCGACCUCACUUAGACUGAGCCUGCAAUUUGGGCAUUUAAAACCAAAGGGCCCAGGGGAAAGUAACUUAAAAACGUUAGAGUGAGUGGACGAAAAAUAAUCAAGUAACUGAUCGCGACAUAACUACCUAAACUUAAUUACUUUCCCAUUUUCCAAUAAUCAAGAAAUUUGUUGUAUGCAAGUGUUGAUAAAACUUUCAUAGAGAAAAUUCCAAGAAAACAGACAAGCCCCACUAGUCAAAUUAACGACAAAGAUAAUUAAUAAUCUUCAUAGAAUAAGGUACCAAAAUAAUGGACUAGCCCCGCUAGUCAAAACUACAACAAUAAAUAAAGAGCAUAUAUAUAUAUAGCCAUACAUGAGCCUCCCAGACUCGGUUGCCUCCCAGGCAAAAGUACUCCCAUACUCCCUACACCUUCAUGUUAUGAUAACAGAGAGGAUGUAGGGCUUGCGUGAUGUCGUCGACUACAUCACAUCACCCGAAGGCGGAAAGGGCUUGAGUAACCCCACUUAAAAUGUGGAAGUUACAUCGCCUCGAAAGGUGGAACACCAUGCUAGCAUGAAUAAUAACGAUCCAACAAAUAUGGCAUAAAUAAAGAAACAUAAAUCCAUGUGAGUUUCCCCGAAACUCAUAAUUAAUGCAGAAGUACAAUUCCCAACCGUAUUCAAAGAAUUCAAAGAGCAAAGAAAAUCAAUAAAUUAGAUGACGUGUCCCACAAGUAAAAUGCUCAAAGAAAUAAUUAACUUAAAUAAUUAUCAUCUUUCGAAAACCAGGCAAUAUGCAAAUCUGUAUAUAAUCUCAAAUCCGGAAAUCAAAAGAAUAUCAUAAUUCAAAUACCAAAACUCUUACCCAAGCUCAAAUCCAUAAGUUAUUAUCAAAAACAUAACCAGUCGGUCAAUCUCAAAUAAAUUCCAUAACCAACUCAAAAGCUGAAAUUAUAAUUUAAGCUCGGAAAAUAUAAUUGACAACUUAUAAAAUCAUGAAUGCAUAUUCCUUUAAAAAUAAAGUGUCCACUCACAGAUUUAGGCCUAAGCCUGACGAAUUCCGAAUCACUACUCAAGCGCGGUUCCCAUUGUAUCCUGGCACAAUAAAUAUGCUUUGGACCAAACUUAAAUUCUGGAAAAUUAAACAUUUGAAAAUAAACACCCAAAUCUCUUCCGCUUAACCCACUACUCUAACUAGGGUUAAGCUCACCAGAUUUCCACCAAACUCCACCAUAACCUUAAUUCCUCAAUUCUAACAUUUUAUAAUAAAUAUCAAGGAAAUCCAACGGCCGGAUUUAUCCUAACAACCGCCAUUCUCUCCAAUCUCCGAAAAAUUCCAAACUUAACCAAAACUCAUCCAAAAAUUCCAAACUAUACUUCAAUAAACUCCUCUUAUUAAAACCAUCUCAAAAACAGGAAAAACUGCCCUUAAGGGGCGGCGACGGCGGCCGGCGGCCGGCAGCCGUAUUCCGGCAAGGACCAAAGCUUCUCAAAUUUUAGCAGAAUAAUCCUCUCAUCAUGCACAACAACUUUCAUAACUAGCACUUAAUCCAAUUCUAAGGCUAACUAGGGUAAUCGAAUCAAAACAUCCAUAAAUCCCUAGAACUUCAAUUAUACAUUUCUCAUUAACAAGAUCGAAUUAGACCAAAUCCUUUUGAGGGGUUACUCACCUUGAUGAGAGCUACAAGAUGAGCCAAGUUUCAAGAGCUAUGGUGGCCGGAGGAGGGAGCUCCGGCGAAAGGACAAUCGGCAGUUCGGGCGGGAUUCCUCUCAAUCGGUGGCGUCCCACGGGCGGUCACCGGCCCAGAAUGAGAGAGGGGACAGCAGGGGUUCGAACGGAGGUGGUCUGGCGGUCUGCAGUGGCCGUAUGGCGGCGGCAGACGGAGCUGAAGUCUCCGGCGGGAGAGAGAGCUCUCGGGGGACUCGGGAGUUCGGGAGAGAAGGGAGGAAGAGAGAGAGAGAGAGAGUUGGGCUUUGACCCCCUCUUCACCCGGUCCAAACUUAAAACACCCACAAAAUAAAGCCUACUAGAAUUUACCUCCUUUUACCAAUAUAGUAACUUUCGUUUUUAGACCAUAACUUCUUCAUACGAACUCCGUUUUAAGCGUGCCGCGUGUCCACGAACUCCCUUUAACGUCCUCUACGACUUUCAUGAAGGAAGUUUUCCCAAAUUCGAAACGGAAGAAAAAGUCGACUUUUGGAGUCUUAAAUAGUAAACGGUUACUUAAAACGGUAAAAUGUCAAAGUAACCCAAAAGUAAAUAACCGCAAAUUGACUUAAGAACCGGGAUGUGCCAGAACGGGACCAGCGCGGCGGUCUGUGGCGAUCGGACGGCGGCGGACGGAGGCCGGGAAUCCAGCGAGUCGGGAAAGACGCGGGGGAGAGGAGAGAGAGAAACAGAGGCUGAGAAGGAAAUGGGCUUCUCUCACACUCGGUCCAACUUAACCCAACAAAAUAAUGCCUACAAAAAUUUACCCCCUUUUUACGAUCCAAAGUAACUUUCGUUAUUAGACCAUAAUUUCUUCAUACGAACUCCGUUUUAAAGGUGCCGCGUGUCCACGAACUCCGUUUAACAUCCUCUACGACUUUCAUGAAGAAAGUUUUCCCAAAUUCCAAACGGAAGAAAAAGUCAACUUUUAGAGUCUUAAAUAGUAAACGGCUACUUAAAACGGUAAAAGGUCAAAUUUACCCAAAAGUAAAUAACCGCAAAUUGACUUAAGAACCGGGAUGUGACAUUGGAGGUUGCCAGAGUUGGCCUCUGGCCGCCGCUGCUGGCGCCGCCGCCGCCGCUGUUUUGGAGAUUUUUAUGGUUUUAAAUGUGGAAUAUUUAGGGGAGUUUAUUGAUAUGAAUUAUGGAAUUUUGGGAUGAGUUUUGGAUAGGUUUGUGAUUUUCCGAAGUUUGGUAAUUUUGGCAGAUUAAUAAGGUAGAAUCCGGCCGUUGGAUUAAAGUCAUAUAAUUUGUGGAAGGGUGUAGUUAAGGCUGCUGGUUUUAGUGUUGAGGUGUGGACCGUAUCAAAGUUAGGCAAUGAUGAGCGUGAGUAUGGCUCUCGGUUAAUUUUGCCUAUUUGGUUUAAAUAUUGGAUUUUUAGUUGGGAAAUUAAUUAUAUAUUUGUGCCAGGGUUCGAGGAAACCUCACUGGAGUGGCGAUUUGGAUUUCGUCGAGCUUAUGCCUAGAGUUGUGAGUGGACUUUUGUUUUAAAUAAUAUGCAUGCUAUGGUUUUGGUUGAACAUUUAAAUUGUUGGAGUUUUGACGUCAUUUAAUUUUGACGCUUUUAUUUCUCUUGGAGAGUUACCGAAAAAUGGGAUUUUUCGGUGAGUAUAAAUAUGUAUAUUGAGGAGAGUAUGUAUAUAAAUGCUAGCUAGCCAUAUGUGUCUGUCCACCUUAAUGGCGUAGCAUAUAGCCGCAUUAAGGUGUGACGUGAGCGUUGGACGCAAGCGUAGUUGCCCUAUAUGAGUGUUUAAUUCAUAUAGGGGGUAUGGGCACAUAUUUAUACACCUGUCUGUCCACCUUAAUGGCUUAGUGUAGCACUGCAUUAAGGCGUGACGUGAGCGUUGGACGCGGGCGUAGUAGCCUUAUAUAGACCCAUGAAUUUAUAUAGGGAGUAUGGACGUGUGUAAAUACAUACAUAUAUUAUAGAGUCUGAGAGGCUCUAUAUUUAUGAGAUAAAAGUUUUAUCGCUUACAGCAUGCAUUCGAUUUUCCUUGGAAAUUGAUUUGGGGAAACAUAAAUAUUUUAUUCGUUAAUUUAUUUUUGUCAACUCACUCUAAUGUGUUUCAAAUGUUUUCCCCUGGGCUCUUCGUUUUAAAAAUGCCCAGUUUGCAGGAUUGCAUAGUUGAGGUCGGGCGUACAUGGAGAAGAGGCAUAGUCAAUAGUAUAGCUUCCGCUCAUUAUAUUUCUAGUUCAUGUCCUUUCAAAUAGUGGUGCUCUGAACUGUGGCUGUUGGUUAUGAGAUUAAAUUGUUAGAGUUAGUAAAUAAAUUGGGAGAUGUUGUGUUUUGGGGAGCACGAAGGCUCCAGGAGUUUAAGGUUGGAUUUGGACUUUCAGAAGUGUAUGCAGGUAUUAUUAGAAAGGGUUGUCCAUUUUCAAGGGAGGUUAUGCCGAAUUUUCGAUGAACUUUCCUUGGAGGUGGUCCCCGCAGGAUUUACUUCGGGUUUCAAGGUGAAAUUCAGGGUGGGUCCUGACAAGGUAUGCCUCAGUCUAACAUGCCCGUCGAGAAUGCUCCUCACAUGAAGUAGAAAACAAAACUCCUUAUGCCCAAUUUGAAGCAGAUCCUGUGAGUCGCGCGAAACGUUUCCAUUGAAGACGAAACUCAUUUCCCCGGCGUUUCAGAUUUCUUCUUUCGUGGAAACGCGUUUCGGGGCGUUUCGUUUCCGAAACUUUUCUGAAACGCGAAAUGUCGGUAAUUUGGCGUUUCAGUGCAACAUAGUGGAUAAGUAAUGAUAUUAUCUAUUUAUUUAAAUAAAUAAAAAAAACAUUUUUACUCACAUAAGUCCACCCAAGCCUAAAUAAAGUUUUAUACUAGGUAUUAAAGUUCAACAAAAGAAAAAUUUUAAAUACACACCCCUGAUCUUUUAAUACACACCUCUAAUAUUUUAUGUUUCUGUUGAGAUUUUAUAGGUAAGCUAAAUGACCAAAAUAAACAUCUAUUAUUAAAAAAAAAAAAAUAAUCGCGCUAGAAGUGUUAUUUUCAACAUCUUCUACCCUAAAAUCGUCGAAAGCACGUCUUCUCCCCUAACC
Molecule: long non-coding RNA, 5994 nt
Filed under: Fragaria vesca (wild strawberry)
Lineage: Eukaryota; Viridiplantae; Streptophyta; Magnoliopsida; Rosales; Rosaceae
Description: long non-coding RNA (FVES_LNC005486)
Source: RNAcentral